RNAcentral lists this transfer RNA (70 nucleotides) under Loxodonta africana (African savanna elephant). It matches the Rfam family "tRNA". From Rfam's summary of the family: Transfer RNA (tRNA) molecules are approximately 80 nucleotides in length. Their secondary structure includes four short double-helical elements and three loops (D, anti-codon, and T loops). Further hydrogen bonds mediate the characteristic L-shaped molecular structure. tRNAs have two regions of fundamental functional importance: the anti-codon, which is responsible for specific mRNA codon recognition, and the 3' end, to which the tRNAs corresponding amino acid is attached (by aminoacyl-tRNA synthetases). tRNAs cope with the degeneracy of the genetic code in two manners: having more than one tRNA (with a specific anti-codon) for a particular amino acid; and 'wobble' base-pairing, i.e. permitting non-standard base-pairing at the 3rd anti-codon position. Lineage: Eukaryota; Metazoa; Chordata; Mammalia; Proboscidea; Elephantidae. The record is from Rfam by way of RNAcentral.
GCAGUGGUGGUUCAGUGGUAGAACUCUUAACUUACACACAGGAGACCUGGGUACAUUCCUGACCAGUGCA